Molecule: ribosomal RNA, 468 nt
Filed under: uncultured bacterium
Lineage: Bacteria
Description: partial 16S ribosomal RNA
Rfam family: Bacterial small subunit ribosomal RNA
Source: RNAcentral
GACGAACGCUGGCGGCGCGCCUAACACAUGCAAGUCGAACGGAGCUGAGAGAAGCUUGCUUUUCUUAGCUUAGUGGCGAACGGGUGAGUAACGCGUGAGUAACCUGCCCUGGAGUGGGGGACAACAGUUGGAAACGACUGCUAAUACCGCAUAAGCCCACGAUCCGGCAUCGGAUUGAGGGAAAAGGAUUUAUUCGCUUCAGGAUGGACUCGCGUCCAAUUAGCUAGUUGGUGAGGUAACGGCCCACCAAGGCGACGAUUGGUAGCCGGACUGAGAGGUUGAACGGCCACAUUGGGACUGAGACACGGCCCAGACUCCUACGGGAGGCAGCAGUGGGGGAUAUUGCACAAUGGGGGAAGCCCUGAUGCAGCGACGCCGCGUGGAGGAAGAAGGUUUUCGGAUUGUAAACUCCUGUCGUUAGGGACGAUAAUGACGGUACCUAACAAGAAAGCACCGGCUAACUACGUG